AUUGACCAUUCCUUCAGUUUUCUCGUGAUCCGCCAAUCUUCCAUGGACGAAUCACAGUCAACUGUUGGCCUGGUCCAU
RNAcentral lists this microRNA precursor (78 nucleotides) under Caenorhabditis japonica. RNAcentral's name for it is "pre miRNA CJA48868". It matches the Rfam family "mir-250 microRNA precursor family". Lineage: Eukaryota; Metazoa; Nematoda; Chromadorea; Rhabditida; Rhabditidae. The record is from Rfam by way of RNAcentral.